RNAcentral lists this ribosomal RNA (3043 nucleotides) under Candidatus Nitrosocosmicus oleophilus. Its description in RNAcentral is "16S ribosomal RNA". The stretch from base 1578 to 3043 matches the Rfam family "Archaeal small subunit ribosomal RNA". The record is from RNAcentral. Lineage: Archaea; Thermoproteati; Nitrososphaerota; Nitrososphaeria; Nitrososphaerales; Nitrososphaeraceae.
GGAAUUAGACCUAAAUCAUAGAGAUAGCUCUCAUGAUACUUUAUGUCUGCUUCCCAAGAAGUAACUUUCUCCCUAAAACUAGUAUCCGUACCCCCAAUUGACAAUGGGUCAGGUGCCAAUAUUUUGAGUAUCUCUAUUUCUUCAUCUACAAUAUCAUCCACUUUUUUCACUUGUUGAAUUUGGAAUUUAGUUGGAUCCUGUUCCACUGCACUCUUUGCUUCACCUUCAAAUUUUUUUUUGACAAAACAAUAUGGUUGAUGUUUUUUUGAAGUAGAAUUUCCUAUAAAAUACUCGCUCCAAAAAUAAAUUUGUGAGUCAGAAGGAUUAUAAAACUUGAGGAAAACAGAUUUUUUUUCCCCGACAUAAAAAGAUGAAAGUAGCAAGGACGGUAUAUCCUCAGGUAGUUUUUUUAAAUAAUAUUCAUCUUUCUUCUCUGAUGUCAAAUUUACUUGCUGCACUAUUGUUUAUUUUAUUCUUCCUUUUAAAAAUUAAUUAGUUUGGUAUAGAUUUAGCAAGUCUGGUAUGUUACAGUAAUAUGUAAAGGGUUAUCAUACUCUGAUUGAUGUAAUUAAGAAUUAGUCCCGAUUAAUAAGAUAUUCUCAAACAUUUCGAGAGGAUAAAUCAGACGUCUAUGACGAAUCCAGAUCUUUAGGCGAUUACCUUACUCACAUAUACAUUUUCAAUAACAGUGAGGUUCCACUGUUAAAUCUGAUUCGUGUUUUUUACAAGUUAUACUAAAUGAAGACUACGUUAAACCGUACACUUUGGUUUUUAAUUAUAAUCGUCCCUGAUAUAUGUAGAUGGUGUGCAGUUGUUAGGCCAAUCGUUUUUUAUGUAAUUUCAUAGGGAUUGGGAUUAGGAUUGAACUGUAUGGUGGAAAUAUUUUUGAUAUUUUUUGUAACCCUAAAGUUAAUAUUAUCAUUUAACUAAACACUUGUGAACGCAUCCAAGACAAAAGGCGGCGUCGGUAAUGAAGUUGGCUAAUGCCACAAUGUGAUUUACAGACCUCCAGGUGCGCUCUUUACAAUAAUCAUAGAAUCAUGAGUAUUUCGGUAUGAGAUCGAGCCUAUAUGGAUCGAACAUUAAAAUACAUGUAAAUAGAUUCAUCACAACGUAUUGGAGAUUCGAUCAAAAAAAUCAGUGCUGACCUGAUAGAUUGAAUCUGACAUGGGAAUGAUCAGAUAGAUGAUAUCGAAGUAUAGAUCACUAUAAUGCUAUUAUAAUUGCAUUAAAGAUGAUCCUAUAGAACAAAUCUAGCUAAUGUGUGAUUUAUUUAUUUGUACUAAAAAACAACAUACAAAUCUAGUUUUUCGAUCGUACUCUUUCUCUUUAUUGUAAUCAAAUCAAAUUGAUAUACAAUAAAGAAAGAAACUCAAUAAACGUCCUUUCAAUUUUUUAACUUAACUUUUCUUUGCUAUUUCUCCUAUCCUAAUAAGAUAGAAGAACAAGAAUAGAGGAGGAGAAAGGAAAGGAAAGGAAAAGUUAGGAAAAAAAGAAAUGAAAUGGACGAUAAAAGUUCAACCGACGAUUUAUAAUAAAGUAAAUAAUAAUUCUACAGCCAUUAUUUACUUUAUUUGACUCCGGUUGAUCCUGCCGGACCCGACUGCUAUCAGAGUGGGACUAAGCCAUGCGAGUCAACAUAGCAAUAUGUGGCAUACGGCUCAGUAACACGUAGUCAACAUGCCCAGGGGACGUGGAUAACCUCGGGAAACUGAGGAUAAACCGCGAUAGGUCAUCACUUCUGGAAUGGGUAAUGACUUAAAUCUAUAUGGCCCCUGGAUUGGACUGCGGCCGAUCAGGCUGUUGGUGAGGUAAUGGCCCACCAAACCUGUAACCGGUACGGGCUCUGAGAGGAGGAGCCCGGAGAUGGGCACUGAGACAAGGGCCCAGGCCCUAUGGGGCGCAGCAGGCGCGAAACCUCUGCAAUAGGCGAAAGCUUGACAGGGUUACUCUGAGUGAUUUCCGUUAAGGAGAUCUUUUGGCACCUCUAAAAAUGGUGCAGAAUAAGGGGUGGGCAAGUCUGGUGUCAGCCGCCGCGGUAAUACCAGCACCCCGAGUGGUCGGGACGUUUAUUGGGCCUAAAGCAUCCGUAGCCGGUUCUACAAGUCUUCCGUUAAAUCCACCUGCUUAACAGAUGGGCUGCGGAAGAUACUAUAGAGCUAGGAGGCGGGAGAGGCAAGCGGUACUCGAUGGGUAGGGGUAAAAUCCGUUGAUCCAUUGAAGACCACCAGUGGCGAAGGCGGCUUGCCAGAACGCGCUCGACGGUGAGGGAUGAAAGCUGGGGGAGCAAACCGGAUUAGAUACCCGGGUAGUCCCAGCUGUAAACGAUGCAGACUCGGUGAUGAGUUGGCUUAUUGCUAACUCAGUGCCGCAGGGAAGCCGUUAAGUUUGCCGCCUGGGGAGUACGGUCGCAAGACUGAAACUUAAAGGAAUUGGCGGGGGAGCACCACAAGGGGUGAAGCCUGCGGUUCAAUUGGAGUCAACGCCGGAAAUCUUACCGGGGGCGACAGCAGAGUGAAGGUCAAGCUGAAGACUUUACCAGACAAGCUGAGAGGAGGUGCAUGGCCGUCGCCAGCUCGUGCCGUGAGGUGUCCUGUUAAGUCAGGUAACGAGCGAGAUCCCUGCCUCUAGUUGCUACCAUUAUUCUCAGGAGUAGUGGAGCUAAUUAGAGGGACCGCCGUCGCUGAGACGGAGGAAGGUGGGGGCUACGGCAGGUCAGUAUGCCCCGAAACCCUCGGGCCACACGCGGGCUGCAAUGGUAAGGACAAUGAGUUUCGAUUCCGAAAGGAGGAGGCAAUCUCUAAACCUUACCACAGUUAUGAUUGAGGGCUGAAACUCGCCCUCAUGAAUAUGGAAUCCCUAGUAACCGCGUGUCACUAUCGCGCGGUGAAUACGUCCCUGCUCCUUGCACACACCGCCCGUCGCUUCAUCGAAGUUGGUUCUUGGCGAGGUGGUGCCUAAUUGGUACUAUCGAACCUGGGGUCAGCAACGAGGGAGAAGUCGUAACAAGGUGGCCGUAGGGGAACCUGCGGCCGGAUCACCU